RNAcentral lists this ribosomal RNA (564 nucleotides) under Veillonella dispar. Its description in RNAcentral is "bacterial SSU rRNA". It matches the Rfam family "Bacterial small subunit ribosomal RNA", at positions 377 to 934 of the family's 1533-position model. The record is from RNAcentral. Lineage: Bacteria; Bacillati; Bacillota; Negativicutes; Veillonellales; Veillonellaceae.
GAAAGUCUGACGGAGCAACGCCGCGUGAGUGAUGACGGCCUUCGGGUUGUAAAGCUCUGUUAAUCGGGACGAAAGGCCUUCUUGCGAAUAGUGAGAAGGAUUGACGGUACCGGAAUAGAAAGCCACGGCUAACUACGUGCCAGCAGCCGCGGUAAUACGUAGGUGGCAAGCGUUGUCCGGAAUUAUUGGGCGUAAAGCGCGCGCAGGCGGAUAGGUCAGUCUGUCUUAAAAGUUCGGGGCUUAACCCCGUGAUGGGAUGGAAACUGCCAAUCUAGAGUAUCGGAGAGGAAAGUGGAAUUCCUAGUGUAGCGGUGAAAUGCGUAGAUAUUAGGAAGAACACCAGUGGCGAAGGCGACUUUCUGGACGAAAACUGACGCUGAGGCGCGAAAGCCAGGGGAGCGAACGGGAUUAGAUACCCCGGUAGUCCUGGCCGUAAACGAUGGGUACUAGGUGUAGGAGGUAUCGACCCUUCUGUGCCGGAGUAACGCAAUAAGUACCCCGCCUGGGGAGUACGACCGCAAGGUUGAAACUCAAAGGAAUUGACGGGGGCCCGCACAAGCGGUG